GGGGGCGAACUGGGUUCGACCGGGCAGUCUGAAGUGUGAGUGGCGUGCCGUGGUUGGUCAGUUGGCCACGUUAAAAGCUGACCGCCUAUCUUCAAUUGCCGAAGAUAACCUCGUUUUGGCUGCCUAGUAACAGGCAUCCCCGGCUGCGGGACUUUGUCGGAGAGGACCAAAAGCCGGUUGCAAAAUCCGAAUCGCCUUGGAUCACCGUCGGGCACGUCCCAGGCUAAAAACUGUUCCUGACUAGCCCGCCAGGCGCCCCGUCGGUUGGGGGUCGGCGAGCGAACCGCGGAAAUGAUCCGACUACGCACGUAGAAGCUUGCAUGGAAAUGCUACGGGACGCGGGUUCGAUUCCCGCCGCCUCCACUU
This 366-nucleotide transfer-messenger RNA is filed under the name Planctomycetota bacterium. RNAcentral's name for it is "Planctomycetes bacterium (groundwater metagenome) transfer-messenger RNA". It matches the Rfam family "transfer-messenger RNA". Rfam says of the family: Bacterial tmRNA, also known as 10Sa RNA or SsrA, is named for its dual tRNA and mRNA-like properties. Its role is to liberate the mRNA from a stalled ribosome. Lineage: Bacteria; Pseudomonadati; Planctomycetota. The record is from RNAcentral.